This is a long non-coding RNA of Ictalurus punctatus (channel catfish), 2132 nucleotides long. Lineage: Eukaryota; Metazoa; Chordata; Actinopteri; Siluriformes; Ictaluridae. The record is from Ensembl.
GCCUUUUGGUUUGUGUCCUAUUCAUCUCAGGAGGCCGCUGUAUGUUAAAUAGCAUAUUUUAAAAAGUACAGUUACAGUUACUACGCAGGCCUACUCAAGUACUGUAAUUGACUUCUGACGAAGAAAGCGAUGGAUUGCUGAAGAUUUCUGCCUGAUGUGAAGAACUGGACUCUGGGUGAGAUCGCCUGUGCUGUACGGUUGGUCAUGCUCUCUGCCAGUGUGGAUUCCUGCGUUUACCGCCACUUGCAGAGAGUGCAGAGAGCAGAGAGCACUUUCCUCCUGACCACACUCAGCCUCCAUAAGGAUGUGCAGCUGACUUAUGGGUCUCUGAUUUGAUUCGUGAGAAGUCCUUCUAAUCAGGAAUCAAAUGUAACAGAGCUCUUCACGGCCCAGCUCCACCAUUACAACUUCCUGGAUGUGUUUUAUUAGCUGCUUCACUUCGGAUACUUCACAAAUGACUCAGCUCCUGAGGCAGGAGGAUUCUUGGAGAGCCUGUUUGGGUUCAUCAGCAUGUGGGAUGUGGACAUGUGGGAGCCUGCAGCACAGCUGUACUUCACAGUGCUUAUUAUUGUCAAUAGGAUAAGCUUUGUCAACAGCGACCCAGCAGCCUUAGCAAGUGCAGUUUCGUGGCUCCUCUGGCAACAUGUCCAGCGGAUGAUGGACACUUUGGAGAAGCUCUCAGCAAUGUCAUUCCCUCUACCCACCCCUCUGCCACCCCCAACCCCCCUUCCUCUUCAUGCUUUUAUCUCUUUUAAUUUACAAUUUAAUAUUGUGGGAUGCUCGCUAGAUCCUGCUAUCUCUAGUAACUUUAAUAAGGCAAAAAAAAAAAAAAAAACCAGCUUGUCAUGUUACUAUAAAAACAAAACAAAGCACUAAGUCCUCUGUACUGCGGCAGAAAACGUAUUGACCCUUACAAAGCUCUGACACCCGAAACUCAUUCCACAGAUAUAUUUUAAAAAUCCACUUACAGAAAAUGUCACCAUAUCAGCAAUUACUCAAUAUGUUUUUUCUUUAUUAAAUAACAGCAUUUUUGUAAACCUGUUCAUAAUUUCGCUUAGAUUAUGUGGAGCAUUUGUGCCCCAAGCCCCUGUAAAAGAGUUGCUACUAAAGAAAUUCAUAUAGAACAUAGAGAGAGAACAUACAGAUAACCUGAUUGCAACUUUAGCACAUUAAUGCUAUAAUUAAACCCCCAAAAUUCAUCUUUUCUUCCUCUGUUGCAUUUCAUAUUCGUUCUUUUCCAUGACUACUUUUCCCUACAUUGCUCAAGCUGUGCAUGAGUAAGUAUACAUCAAGUUUGUUGUUUUCAGUUAACUUAGUAUUUAAAAAAAAAAUCUUUUUUCUUCAUUUACAUGUCUGUAUAGAGAGCCCAGGACUGAAGGACCAGUGUAACAUCAUUCCUCAUCCCCAAUACUCACCCCUUUAUACUCUAUCCUUCAGUACUUUAUCCCUCUCCCCAUCACUCUAUUCCUUUCAGUAGCCUAAAGAGUCUAUAUAGAUGACAGCUGUAAAUAGAAUUGUUUGUAAAUAGUUGUUACAUAGUGCUUAUAUAGUUUGCUUUAGUAAAGGUUUGCAUUUACUCCUAUUGCAGAACUAAAUUAAUUUCUCAUUCAUAUACAAAUCCAUUUAAAGAAUUUCUGAAACUCUGAAAAAUGACAAAUAAACAAAAUUUUGAUAUUUAUAGCCGUGCAAAAUUUGUUGAUGGCACCAAAUUGUGUAAAAUUGUAAAUAUAAAAAUAAAAAAUAUUUAAUAUACUGUGUAAGAAAUCUUCAGAUUAUAGUCAGAAAAUCUCAUUGUUGAGGAACAAAAUUUUGGGAGAUUUUACCAUUUUACUGUAGUACACCGUUUAUAUUAGGCCAUCACUCUGAACUCUCAAGGUCAUGUUCUAAGACUGAGUGGUUGUGAUAUAACAGUCAUGGGUGUAAUGCUUGCAAAGGUAGAAUAUUUACUCUAUCAUCCGUAUUCUUUUCCCAAAAGAAACACAGAAAAGCAAACUGUGGCUAAUUAAAGUACAAAUUAAACAAAAGAACUGAAUUGUAUGUUUAGUGUUUUUUUGGUGUUUUUUUUUUUUUUUUGCUGUUGUUUGAACAAAAAAGUUACAACUUUUACAACGGCUACAAUCUUUGGAGGAAAC